CUUAAACGUAACUCCCCUAGAAACAAAUGGAUACGCUAUAUGAGUGUGGAUUACUCCUGUUCUGACCAGCAGCUUCCACACCAACAUCCCAGGGACAACUGGCAGAGUUAUACCAAGUAUUACCUGACCACUGUUGACUACUGGAAAUCAACAGCCUUCACUACAGUCUCGCAUAGAGGGGUGGCAGUGAAGAAAAGUGGCAGCAGCCAUGCUACCCACGCCUG
This 224-nucleotide long non-coding RNA is filed under the name Gallus gallus (chicken). Lineage: Eukaryota; Metazoa; Chordata; Aves; Galliformes; Phasianidae. The record is from RNAcentral.